This is a long non-coding RNA of Orcinus orca (killer whale), 1989 nucleotides long. RefSeq lists it as uncharacterized. The transcript is spliced from 3 exons. The record is from RefSeq and is a predicted model, not a curated record. NCBI's taxonomy places the organism in Eukaryota, Metazoa, Chordata, Mammalia, Artiodactyla, Delphinidae.
ACAAUUUGGAUGAACCUUGAAAAUAUUAUGCUAAGUGAACGAACCCAGAUACAAAAGGUGAUGAAAAAGAAGUAGGUAGUGGUGAUGGUUGCAUGACACUGUGAAUGUACUUAAUGCCACUGAAUUGUUCACUUAAAACUGGUUAAAAUGGUGGAUUGUAUAUUAUACAUUUUACCACAAUUUUUAAAAAAUUAAUAAUGUAAUACAUCCAAAAUGACUGAACUGUACACUUUACAGCAUUUCUUUUUUUUUUUUUUUGAGGUACGCGGGCCUCUCACUGUCGUGGCCUCUACCAUUGCAGAGCACAGGCUCCGGACGCACAAGCUCAGCGGCCAUGGCUCACGCGCCCAGCCGCUCCGCUGCAUGUGGGAUAUUCCUGGACCGGGGCACGAACCUGCGUCCCCUGCAUCGGCAGGCAGACUCUCAACCACUGCGCCACCAGGGAAGCCCAAAUUGUACACUUCAAACGACUGAAUUGCAUGGUCUGCGAAUAUCUCAGUGAAGAUGUUUUUAAAAAAAGGAAGUGGUCAUCUUCCACUUUCUGUUGGGACACUUGCUCUUAACCCCAGCCUCCAUACUAGCACAAGACAAAGCACCUUAUGGAGACGUCCACGUGGAGAGGAACCAAAGCUUCUGAUCCUCAGCCCGGCCAACAGCCCCAGCCAACAGCCAGCACCAUCUUGCUGGCCACGUGAGUGAGCCGUCUUGGAAGGAGACCCUCUGGCAGACAGUCAAGUCACCCCAGAGGGAGGAGAGAGAAGCCAUUUUUGCCAAGCCGUGCCCAAAGUGCUGAUCUGGUUUCCAGAGGUUGGAGCCAGCUGCUGGUGCUGGUUCUACGCCGUGUGAUGUGUCUUCUCUCUAAAGGACUGCUCAUCCGUGGCGCAAAGAACCCAUCCUAGAGCCACCCCAGGAACUAGAAAAAACAAAUCUUUUGCCAGAAUUAUGAUGUUCCAAGAGUACGAUGAAACGUGUGCCGUGGAGGCAUUGGUUAGACUUAUGGGCAUUACAGAAGGUUCUGUCUCAGAAAAAUACAGGAACCUGCCUGCUCAAAGAUGUUUUGGAGAUCCAAAAGAAGAGGUGCUGAUUACAUGGCAUAUUGACUUCAUGUAAACCUAUCAAGCUGUAUAAUGCUGAACUAAAACCAAUAAAACACCGGGUUAUUUUAUCACCAAAAUGGGUUGAUCCAGGAACAGAAGAAUUGCAAUUCAGGUCUCACAAUCUAUGAGGAACUACAGGCAAGCCCAGAGAGCAAAGGAAGGGAGUCUGCUUUUAUAAGGAAAAGGGGGGAGUUGGGAGGGGCUAUUCUACAUGAAAGUUCGUUGGAGGAAAGUAGGAGUUCAGGGGUGGCAAUGACUUCUCAUUGGCUGGGCUGUUGCUAAGUGAGGAGAAAUUCUUCCUUUGGUAUAGUAAAGCGGUUGCCCCUCCUGUUUGGGAGUGCAAGGUAGUUUCUUUCCGUGAGGUACACAAUUGGCAUCAAGGAGCAGGGCAUGAGAGCUCCCCCUUCUGGCCUCUUGACUCCAUCUUUUCUUUUGUUUUAUAAAUUUAUUUAUUUAUUUAUUUUUGGCUGCGUUGGGUCUUCGUUGCUGCCCUGGGCUUUCUCUAGUUGUGGCGAGCGGGGGCGCUGCUUUUCGUUGCGGUGCGCGGACUUCUCCUUGCGGCGACGUCUCUUGCUGCAGAGCACGGGCUCUAGGCACGUGGGCUUCAGUAGUUGUGGUACGCGAGCUUAGUAGUUGUGAUGCAUGGGCUUAGUUGCUCCGCGUCACGUGGGAUCUUCCCGGACCAGGGCUCGAACCCAUGUCCCCUGCAUUGCAGGUGGAUUCUUAACCACUGCGCCACCAGGGAAGUCCCUGACUCCAUCUUAAGUGAGGUUUCUGUUUAUUAAUUUUCACAAUACUCGUGAUUAUAUUUUUUCUGUAUGUAUGCUAGUCUUCAAUAAAGUAAUAAAAACAAAUAAAAAUAAGGGUAGUCUGUGGGCCUCUGGUAAGCCUC